RNAcentral lists this ribosomal RNA (1435 nucleotides) under Staphylococcus aureus F23353. RNAcentral's name for it is "bacterial SSU rRNA". It matches the Rfam family "Bacterial small subunit ribosomal RNA". Lineage: Bacteria; Bacillati; Bacillota; Bacilli; Caryophanales; Staphylococcaceae. The record is from RNAcentral.
GAGUAACACGUGGAUAACCUACCUAUAAGACUGGGAUAACUUCGGGAAACCGGAGCUAAUACCGGAUAAUAUUUUGAACCGCAUGGUUCAAAAGUGGAAGACGGUCUUGCUGUCACUUAUAGAUGGAUCCGCGCUGCAUUAGCUAGUUGGUAAGGUAACGGCUUACCAAGGCAACGAUGCAUAGCCGACCUGAGAGGGUGAUCGGCCACACUGGAACUGAGACACGGUCCAGACUCCUACGGGAGGCAGCAGUAGGGAAUCUUCCGCAAUGGGCGAAAGCCUGACGGAGCAACGCCGCGUGAGUGAUGAAGGUCUUCGGAUCGUAAAACUCUGUUAUUAGGGAAGAACAUAUGUGUAAGUAACUGUGCACAUCUUGACGGUACCUAAUCAGAAAGCCACGGCUAACUACGUGCCAGCAGCCGCGGUAAUACGUAGGUGGCAAGCGUUAUCCGGAAUUAUUGGGCGUAAAGCGCGCGUAGGCGGUUUUUUAAGUCUGAUGUGAAAGCCCACGGCUCAACCGUGGAGGGUCAUUGGAAACUGGAAAACUUGAGUGCAGAAGAGGAAAGUGGAAUUCCAUGUGUAGCGGUGAAAUGCGCAGAGAUAUGGAGGAACACCAGUGGCGAAGGCGACUUUCUGGUCUGUAACUGACGCUGAUGUGCGAAAGCGUGGGGAUCAAACAGGAUUAGAUACCCUGGUAGUCCACGCCGUAAACGAUGAGUGCUAAGUGUUAGGGGGUUUCCGCCCCUUAGUGCUGCAGCUAACGCAUUAAGCACUCCGCCUGGGGAGUACGACCGCAAGGUUGAAACUCAAAGGAAUUGACGGGGACCCGCACAAGCGGUGGAGCAUGUGGUUUAAUUCGAAGCAACGCGAAGAACCUUACCAAAUCUUGACAUCCUUUGACAACUCUAGAGAUAGAGCCUUCCCCUUCGGGGGACAAAGUGACAGGUGGUGCAUGGUUGUCGUCAGCUCGUGUCGUGAGAUGUUGGGUUAAGUCCCGCAACGAGCGCAACCCUUAAGCUUAGUUGCCAUCAUUAAGUUGGGCACUCUAAGUUGACUGCCGGUGACAAACCGGAGGAAGGUGGGGAUGACGUCAAAUCAUCAUGCCCCUUAUGAUUUGGGCUACACACGUGCUACAAUGGACAAUACAAAGGGCAGCGAAACCGCGAGGUCAAGCAAAUCCCAUAAAGUUGUUCUCAGUUCGGAUUGUAGUCUGCAACUCGACUACAUGAAGCUGGAAUCGCUAGUAAUCGUAGAUCAGCAUGCUACGGUGAAUACGUUCCCGGGUCUUGUACACACCGCCCGUCACACCACGAGAGUUUGUAACACCCGAAGCCGGUGGAGUAACCUUUUAGGAGCUAGCCGUCGAAGGUGGGACAAAUGAUUGGGGUGAAGUCGUAACAAGGUAGCCGUAUCGGAAGGUGCGGCUGGAUCACCU